This is a long non-coding RNA of Scylla paramamosain (green mud crab), 2260 nucleotides long. RefSeq lists it as uncharacterized. The record is from RefSeq and is a predicted model, not a curated record. The transcript is spliced from 3 exons. NCBI's taxonomy places the organism in Eukaryota, Metazoa, Arthropoda, Malacostraca, Decapoda, Portunidae.
GUAUGGUGUCUUAUAUAGGGAACAGUGAGAAAGGACCUUCACUCCUCUCCCUGUGGUUCAGUGGCUGAUGUCUCUUCUUAUUUUUUUUCUUCUUCCUCGUCACUCGGUCAAGAAAACAGAACUGUCCCCUUUACAAGAUAAAACCCCUCUGCUUUGGUCUGUAUGACAUCAAAUCGCUCCACUCCCUCCCUUAUCCAUUCCUUAAAUUCCCUUAUACUCUUUACCCAAUCUUAAUAACCCUAGGAACACUUCAGCAAUAUAAUAUCUUAAGAGUCUUCUGUGGAAUCAACUCAGACAGGUUUGAAUUACUUGAAUCGCGUUGACACACCUUCUCCUCACACUCCAUCUCUUAAACGUCCUUUAAAUUCCCCUAUACUCUUUACCCAAGCUUAUUAACCCCACAGAUACUUUCUUACUACAAUAUCUUAAGUCUAGUACGUAAUCAUAUCAGAGGCUGGAAUUGUUUGAAUUUCGCGCGAAAACAUCCGCUCUUCACACCAUCUAAAUUGUGUUAUACUCCUUAUCCAAGCCUACUAACCCUAGGAACACUUCAGAACUACAAUAUCUUAAUAGUAUAGUGCGGAAUGAUGCCUUUACACGCUUCAGUUACGCUCUAAUAAACUCCUUUCAAUAGCGAGAAAAUAUGAGCUGCCAAGUGAAUGGCAUCUACCAUCACCAUGACAACGGGUCGUGAACAGCCAAUCCCAGCUCGCCAUUUCAUCCGGGACCUCAAGAUGGCCACACUGAUACAAUAUAGUUUAAUUUCCAGCCAAGAUCAGAGUUAACCGAGACAUAUAUGGUGGAUAAAAAGCUCUUAAAAAUAUGGGUGUUCCGAGGAAAGUAUACCACUAGGGAAUGUGGGUUACAUUAGUAAUGGAGGAAUAUUUUGAGAGCAGACGAAACUAAAGUGUUGCCACGGUGACGGCGGUGGUGGGCAUGAUACAGAUGCGGGAGGUGGAGUUUGUGCCCGAUGGAGACAUGCAGCUGGACAAAUUCUGUUGCUCAUUGGUCAGACUGGAGUUUACAUGUAUACCUCCUUCACCAUCAUUGGUGGACACUUCACCAUGAGUGAUGCUUGAGCUGUCAUGGUGCUGCUGCUGUUGUCUGCCAUCAUCCACCUGACACAGACCACCCUGCAGACACCUUCAUCCUGGGUGCCACACGUCACUGCUGCUACAACUCAGAGCAACUGGAGCGCAAACCAGGAAGGGAAAUGGUAACUUCUCACUUAAUUUGUUGUUUAUUUGAGGGCCUAAUGACAAAGACAUAAUGGAAUGAGUAUUUGUGAAUGUUUGUUUAUAUCUAGAUACACCAUUCACAUAUCUUAAGUGCCACCUUCCAAAAGCAAUGUCAGCCAGAAAAAUAAGUGAUCAAUCUAAUUACAUUUCAAGUCAAAAAGUUUUCCUUUAACCACUUUGUUCCAGAUGCUUAAAAACAUGCGUUGCUCACAUACAUGGCAUCACCUAGGCUCGUCACUGGUAACUUAUCUAAUUUAUAAUAAUUUCUAAUAUAAUUUCUGUGUGUGUGUGUGUGUGUGUGUGUGUGUGUGUGUGUGUGUGUGUGUGUGUGUGUGCUGAUGCGGCUGAGAAGGUUGCCUUAUGAUAAUUAUUGACAAAUGAAGGUAAUGGAUGCACAUGUCAUUAAUACUUUUUUAUGUGUGUGUGUAUGUGUGUGUGUUAUGUAUACACACAAACACAAACACACACACACAAACGCACAAAGAGAAGUAAUAGACACGCAUCCUUUACCUUCAUUCAUCAAUAAUUGCCAUAAGACGACCUUCCCAGCUGCAUCACUACACACACACACACACACACACACACACACACACACACACACACACACACACACACACACACACACACACAGAACACACACACACACUUACACAUCAUGUAGUGUAGUGGUUAGCACGCUCGGCUCACAACCAACAAGGCCCGGGUUCGAAUGCCGGGCACGGUGAAGCAGAUGGACAAGCCUCUUAAUGUGUAGCCCCUGUUCACCUAGCAGUAACUAGGUACAGGAUGUAACCCGAGGUGAUGUGACUUCGCUGCCCCAGUGUGUGGUGUGUCAUUGGCCUCAGUCCUACCCAAAGAUCAGUCACCAUGAGCUCUGAGCUCUUACACACACACACACACACACACACACACACACACACACACACACACACACACACACACACACACACACACACACACACACACACACACACAGAGAGAGAGAGAGAGAGAGAGAGAGAGAGAGAGAGAGAGAGCAAAAU